UGUAGUCUGCAACUCGACUACAUGAAGCUGGAAUCGCUAGUAAUCGCGAAUCAGCAUGUCGCGGUGAAUACGUUCCCGGGUCUUGUACACACCGCCCGUCACACCAUGGGAGUCGGUAACGCCCGAAGUCAGUGACCCAACCGAGAGGAGGGAGCUGCCGAAGGCGGGACUGGUAACUGGGGUGAAGUCGUAACAAGGUAGC
Molecule: ribosomal RNA, 202 nt
Filed under: uncultured bacterium
Lineage: Bacteria
Description: partial 16S ribosomal RNA
Rfam family: Bacterial small subunit ribosomal RNA
Source: RNAcentral